AACUUAGUUGUUUUCAUCGAUAGGAAGCACUUCAACAAAAACUUCUCAGUCAUUUGAUCCCAAGUCAUGAUAGAAUCCCGUGGAAGUGAAUUCAACCACUGUUUUGUCUUGCUCCUUAGAGAGAACGAGAAUAACCGUAAGCGUAUGACAUCAUCAAUAAGACCAUUGAUCUUGAAAGUGUCACAAAUCUCUAGAAAGUUAGCCAAAUGAGCAAUCGGAUCUUUAUCUUUUUAACCCAUCAAAUUGAACAUACAGCUCCACCAUCUGAAUUGUAUUCAGCUUGAUCUCAAAAUUGUUUGCAGCAAUAGUCAGUCUGGUGAUACUCGAUUCAUCCCUAAUCAGAUUAGGCUUAGCAUAAUCAUACAUAGUAUGAGGAGUAAGAGGUGUAGGAGGUUGCUGAUUAUUUUGAUUAUCAUCCAUCUCCACAGUA
Molecule: long non-coding RNA, 430 nt
Filed under: Gossypium raimondii (Peruvian cotton)
Lineage: Eukaryota; Viridiplantae; Streptophyta; Magnoliopsida; Malvales; Malvaceae
Description: long non-coding RNA (GRAI_LNC010124)
Source: RNAcentral